Molecule: ribosomal RNA, 253 nt
Filed under: uncultured bacterium
Lineage: Bacteria
Description: partial 16S ribosomal RNA
Rfam family: Bacterial small subunit ribosomal RNA
Source: RNAcentral
UACGUAGGGGGCAAGCGUUGUCCGGAUUUAUUGGGCGUAAAGAGCGUGUAGGCGGCCGCACAGGUCCGUUGUGAAAACUGGAGGCUUAACCUUCAGACGUCGAUGGAAACCGUGCGGCUAGAGUCCGGAAGAGGAGAGUGGAAUUCCUGGUGUGGCGGUGAAAUGCGCAGAUAUCAGGAGGAACACCAAUAGCGAAGGCAGCUCGCUGGGACGGUAUUGACGCUAAGGCGCGAAAGCGUGGGGAGCAAACAGG